Oreochromis niloticus (Nile tilapia) is the source of this 626-nucleotide long non-coding RNA. RefSeq lists it as uncharacterized. NCBI's taxonomy places the organism in Eukaryota, Metazoa, Chordata, Actinopteri, Cichliformes, Cichlidae. The record is from RefSeq and is a predicted model, not a curated record. The transcript has 3 exons.
UGAGACACUCAGGACUGAACAGACUGCACAGUUUCUGUGACUGAGCCUCCAAAACACCUUCUUUGAAACCACACAUGAUAGAAGGGCUUUAUAUUUGCAGCAGCACUACUAAAGUUGGCAGGAAUGUUGCUGCAGGAAAACAUCCCUGGAGAUCACCACCAUUGUCACACUGACUGUGCCUCCUCUGUGCAGUGUCAAGAUCCUCCCUAAAUGAGUGUUCCUCAGCUAUCCUGCUUCUGUGCUGCUUGCCACACAUCAAACACUGGCCGGAUGACAGGGAGGAUCCACUCUGAAGUCACUGGACAUGAUGAGCAUCAUCUGGGACUUUAUAGUUUCACAGAAACGUUGUGCUCUUUGAUUACAGGUUUUAAAUGGACAUAAUGACUGCCUCUCUCUGAUCAACAGGCUAAAGGAUUGUUUUCAUUGUUAGAGCUCUGUACAAUGUAUGCUUAUUUAAUAUUUCAUCACAGAGCAAACCUUUAUUUAUUUAUUUAACAUAUUUUUUAUUUUGUUUUAAUGUUGAAUUAACUGUGGGGAUUUUUUUAACUGGGCACUCGGGAUGUCAUAUGACCAGAAAUGUGGUAACUUCAAUUCUACAGUAUGUACAAAAAAUCUGCUAAGAACGA